Lepisosteus oculatus (spotted gar) is the source of this 871-nucleotide long non-coding RNA. RefSeq lists it as uncharacterized. The record is from RefSeq and is a predicted model, not a curated record. NCBI's taxonomy places the organism in Eukaryota, Metazoa, Chordata, Actinopteri, Semionotiformes, Lepisosteidae.
UCGGCGGUGUACUGGGCCAGAUCUUUCACUGCCUUCUCCUUCAAGAGCACCAUCUUGGACUGGGCCUCCACCCUGACAAACAGAUUCAGUAGAGGGUAGCCAGGGUAUUGCUGUACCUUGUCCAGUCUGCGGUACAGCUGCUGGAAUCUGGCUUUCUCCACUCGCAGUGUGUCCAGCUCCUCUCGCAAAUGGCCGUUCUUGGUCAGCUGCUCGUUAAACCGGGGUUCGGCAGGCUUUCAGGGUGUGCAGGGGCUGAGGUCUCUGGGCCUGGGUCGCACUGGGCCCUCCUCUUCUCUGACUUCCCAGCUUGCGCUCCAGCUGGAGGAUCUGUCACCCGUGGAAACGUAGGACAAGUACAAUGGAAUCUAUCCACCUCCUGAGCUUGCAUCGUCCUCAAACCUCUGACCACCGACACAAAGACCCUUCUAACCUUGGACCUCUCGGCUACUCCUUUUCAUCUCGCCCCUUUUGGAUUUGUGUGCCUCGUUGCUUUCUCCACCCGCAUUUGACCUCGCCUGGAACUACUGGCCACUCUGCUGCCUCGCUCUUCUCGGACUCGUAAGCCAUCGGACUCUCUUAGAGACCCCCUCGGGGGUUCAGAACAACUCGUUCGUAAUAGUGCUUGAAAAACACGCUCUCUCAUCUCAUCUGGGGAGUAGCAGUGCGUGAUCAGAGCUGUUUUGCAGCUCGUCGAUACAAAUGCACAGCAGCAAUGCAGGGGUGAAAAAAUCCACAGCAUGACUGACAAAAUCGUUUCGCUUAAACAAAGCCUUUGUUGUUUUGUCUCUUUUACAAAUCCACAAUAAGCUCAACAGGAUGAAAUGAAAAGCCCCUGGAUUUAGUAUUUGUCGUCAAGCAUGCAUUUGUUAUA